AUUGUUCUCCUUGAUUUACUCCAUCGAUUUGGCAGGACAUAUCCUGUAGUGGUUUCCCGAGAAAGAGCGUGUUAUAGAUUGUCUCCUUUGGUUCUUAAGCCUUGAGACUCAGACUGAAUCACACCACCGGCUUUUCUGGGUCUGCAGCUUGCAGAUAGCAGACUGUGGGACUUCUCAGUCUAUAAUCAUGAAGAUGUUAAGCAAUUUAUUUGAUGUCCUUCAAAAACUAUCUUUAUAAUGAAACAAGAGAAACCAUGAUUAACUAUCAAAUUCAACUUGCUGCACAGCAUAACAAAACUACAGUGGAAUAAAGAAUACGGAGAAUUUUGAGUCAUGUCUUGUACAAUUGAAAUUUAAGAGCAAGGUUGCUUCUGUACCCCUAUACAGACUUGGCGCUGUGCCUCCACACUAGCUGCCAGAAAGAUGACAAAUGACAAUCAAAGAAAUCACCAGGAGACAAUGGCCUCUAUAAGGCCCACAUGCUUAUUUGUUCUGAAUUAAAAUGCUCAAACUUCA
Molecule: long non-coding RNA, 516 nt
Filed under: Homo sapiens (human)
Lineage: Eukaryota; Metazoa; Chordata; Mammalia; Primates; Hominidae
Description: uncharacterized LOC105378396, transcript variant 2 (LOC105378396)
Source: RNAcentral